AAAAAAAAAAAACAUAGGUUUCCGUAUCCAACGUUUGACCGUCCGUCUUAUUUAAAAAAAUUAUGAAAAAAAUUAAAAAGACAAGUCACGCAUAAAGUAUUAAUUAUAUUUUAUCAUCUAACAACAAUGAAAAUACUAAUUAUAAAAAAAAUUUAUAUAAGACGAACAGUCUAACGUUGGACACGGAAACCCAGAGUUUAUCUUUUU
This is a non-coding RNA of Oryza glumipatula, 207 nucleotides long. NCBI's taxonomy places the organism in Eukaryota, Viridiplantae, Streptophyta, Magnoliopsida, Poales, Poaceae. The record is from Rfam.